GUAAAUAUAUAUAUAUACAGAUAAUUAUCGAAAUAAUAGUCAACCCAUGUCUGUGACCUUGGGAGAGCUACUUCAGUUUCUUUUUUCUUUUUAAUUUUUUAUUAUCUUUAUUUAUUUGACCGGGAUCCUUACACCGGCCCUUGAGCUUUGUGCCAAAAGAACUUUGAAGAGAGAAUUCAAGAGGGCGUGAAACUGUUAAGAGGUAAACAGGUGUGGUCCACGGGAGCCCAAGUCCUUCUGAUCGAGGCCCAGCCCGUGGAUAGUGUGAGGCCAGUGACCCUGGUGCACCAGGCCCAGGCCUUCCUAGAGUCAGGUUGCUUGGGAAUGCAGCCCAAAACGGGUGGUAAACUCCAUCUAAGGCUAAAUACCAGCACGAGACCAACAGUCAACAAGUACAGUAAGUGAAAGUUGAAAAGAACUUUGAAGAGAUUCUUACAGGGAGAUUCGUUUCCUCAGUUCCCCAUUUUUCAAUGG
Molecule: non-coding RNA, 474 nt
Filed under: Erinaceus europaeus (western European hedgehog)
Lineage: Eukaryota; Metazoa; Chordata; Mammalia; Eulipotyphla; Erinaceidae
Description: Eukaryotic large subunit ribosomal RNA
Rfam family: Eukaryotic large subunit ribosomal RNA (bases 92-474)
Source: Rfam by way of RNAcentral